This 305-nucleotide ribosomal RNA is filed under the name uncultured bacterium. RNAcentral describes it as "bacterial SSU rRNA". It matches the Rfam family "Bacterial small subunit ribosomal RNA", at positions 338 to 660 of the family's 1533-position model. The record is from RNAcentral.
CCUACGGGGCGCAGCAGUGGGGAAUAUUGCACAAUGGGGGAAUCCCUGAUGCAGCAACGCCGCGUGGGUGAAGAAGUAUUUCGGUAUGUAAAGCCCUAUCAGCAGGGAAGAGAAUGACGGUACCUGACUAAGAAGCCCCGGCUAACUACGUGCCAGCAGCCGCGGUAAUACGUAGGGGGCAAGCGUUAUCCGGAUUUACUGGGUGUAAAGGGGGCGCAGACGGCGAUGCAAGCCAGGAGUGAAAGCCCGGGGCCCAACCCCGGGACUGCUCUUGGAACUGCGUGGCUGGAGUGCAGGAGGGGCAG